RNAcentral lists this transfer RNA (71 nucleotides) under Ictidomys tridecemlineatus (thirteen-lined ground squirrel). RNAcentral describes it as "Spermophilus tridecemlineatus (thirteen-lined ground squirrel) tRNA". It matches the Rfam family "tRNA". Rfam says of the family: Transfer RNA (tRNA) molecules are approximately 80 nucleotides in length. Their secondary structure includes four short double-helical elements and three loops (D, anti-codon, and T loops). Further hydrogen bonds mediate the characteristic L-shaped molecular structure. tRNAs have two regions of fundamental functional importance: the anti-codon, which is responsible for specific mRNA codon recognition, and the 3' end, to which the tRNAs corresponding amino acid is attached (by aminoacyl-tRNA synthetases). tRNAs cope with the degeneracy of the genetic code in two manners: having more than one tRNA (with a specific anti-codon) for a particular amino acid; and 'wobble' base-pairing, i.e. permitting non-standard base-pairing at the 3rd anti-codon position. The record is from Rfam by way of RNAcentral. Lineage: Eukaryota; Metazoa; Chordata; Mammalia; Rodentia; Sciuridae.
GUGGCUGUAGCUCAGUGGUAGAGCGCUUGCCUAGCACAUGUGAGGCACUGGGUUCAAUCCUCAGCACCACA